GACGAACGCUGGCGGCGUGCCUAAUACAUGCAAGUAGAACGCUGAAGAGAGGAGCUUGCUCUUCUUGGAUGAGUUGCGAACGGGUGAGUAACGCGUAGGUAACCUGCCUUGUAGCGGGGGAUAACUAUUGGAAACGAUAGCUAAUACCGCAUAACAAUGGAUGACACAUGUCAUUUAUUUGAAAGGGGCAAUUGCUCCACUACAAGAUGGACCUGCGUUGUAUUAGCUAGUAGGUGAGGUAAUGGCCCACCUAGGCGACGAUACAUAGCCGACCUGAGUGGGUGGUCGGCCAAACUGGGACUUGGGCAAGGCCCCGACUCCUUCGGGGAGGAGCAGGAGGGAAUCUUCGGCAAAGGGGGCAACCCUGACCGAACAACGCCGGGGGAGGGAAGAAGGUUUUCGGAUCGUAAAGCUCUGUUGUAAGUCAAGAACGGGUGUGAGAGUGGAAAGUUCACACUGUGACGGUAGCUAACCAGAAAGGGACGGCUAACUACGUG
RNAcentral lists this ribosomal RNA (497 nucleotides) under uncultured bacterium. RNAcentral describes it as "partial 16S ribosomal RNA". It matches the Rfam family "Bacterial small subunit ribosomal RNA", at positions 28 to 507 of the family's 1533-position model. The record is from RNAcentral.